Arabidopsis thaliana (thale cress) is the source of this 505-nucleotide long non-coding RNA. RefSeq annotates it as other RNA. NCBI's taxonomy places the organism in Eukaryota, Viridiplantae, Streptophyta, Magnoliopsida, Brassicales, Brassicaceae. The record is from RefSeq. The transcript has a single exon.
UUAACCCUUUAAGAUGUUCUUAGGAUCAAGAGGCGGUGUAUCGAGUUGAUAAAGAUUAAACGCCGGUCCAACAAACCGGAAAAAAAUCCAACCUCCAAUGACAAUGUAUAUCGACGCGUAAGCCAAUUUGUUUAGCCAAAACAACAAACCUUUCUCUCCAACAUAAAGCUCCAAUGCCUUCUCAUUCAAUGUCAUCUCUUCCCAUGGCUUUUGAACAGUCUCUUUUUUCUUCCCGCUUUGUCCUCCUCCUUCUCCUGAACCCUCUUCCCUCAUUUUCCUUCUGGAUCCUCUUUUGAAUCUUAUCUCCACUCCAUCCAACGGCUGAGUAAUCUUCUCUUCAUCACCGCCACUGUUUACGCAGUUUAUCGAUAGAGUUCUUCUGUUGCUACGAUGCAACUGGAACUUGGUUUUUGUAUAAGAUUGUUGCUUCAGAUUGAUAAUCGUUGAAUUGGGAGCUAAAAAGUGGAGACUUUUCAUUUUUGUUGUUGUUUUUAAGAUUUUGAAG